CGUCAUGGACGGCCAUGACGCAGAACAAUAAGCGGCGGGACGACCUGC
This 48-nucleotide non-coding RNA is filed under the name Brenneria goodwinii. Its description in RNAcentral is "Guanidine-II sequence". It matches the Rfam family "Guanidine-II riboswitch aptamer (mini-ykkC)". From Rfam's summary of the family: Simpler in structure and has fewer highly conserved nucleotide positions than the ykkC-yxkD leader. Despite this each of its two stem-loop structures directly bind free guanidine. Lineage: Bacteria; Pseudomonadati; Pseudomonadota; Gammaproteobacteria; Enterobacterales; Pectobacteriaceae. The record is from Rfam by way of RNAcentral.